Molecule: ribosomal RNA, 432 nt
Filed under: uncultured archaeon
Lineage: Archaea
Description: bacterial SSU rRNA
Rfam family: Archaeal small subunit ribosomal RNA
Source: RNAcentral
UACCUGCAGCUCGAGUGGUAACCGCUAUUAUUGGGCCUAAAGCGUCCGUAGCCGGUUUGGUAAAUAUCUGGGUAAAUCGUGAGGCUUAACUUCACGAAUUUCGGAUAGACUGCCAGACUUGGGAUCGGGGGAGGUCAGAGGUACUCCAGGGGUAGCGGUGAAAUGUUGUAAUCCUUGGAGGACCACCGGUAGCGAAGGCGUCUGACUAGAACGAGUCCGACGGUGAGGGACGAAGCCCUGGGGCGCAAACCGGAUUAGAUACCCGGGUAGUCCAGGGUGUAAACGAUGUGGGCUUUGUAUUGGAGGUCCCACGUGGGCGUCCAGUGCAGAAGAGAAGUUGUUAAGCCCACCGCCUGGGAAGUACGGUCGCAAGGCUAGAAACUUAAAGGAAUUGGGCGGGGGAGCACAGCGAACGGGAGGAGCGUGCGGUUU